This 497-nucleotide ribosomal RNA is filed under the name uncultured bacterium. RNAcentral describes it as "partial 16S ribosomal RNA". It matches the Rfam family "Bacterial small subunit ribosomal RNA", at positions 28 to 507 of the family's 1533-position model. The record is from RNAcentral.
GAUGCACGCUGGCGGCGUGCCUAAUACAUGCCAGUCGAGCGAACAGACGAGGAGCUUGCUCCUCUGACGUUAGCGGCGGACGGGUGAGUAACACGUGGAUAACCUACCUAUAAGACUGGGAUAACUUCGGGAAACCGGAGCUAAUACCGGAUAAUAUAUUGAACCGCAUGGUUCAAUAGUGAAAGACGGUUUUGCUGUCACUUAUAGAUGGAUCCGCGCCGCAUUAGCUAGUUGGUAAGGUAACGGCUUACCAAGGCAACGAUGCGUAGCCGACCUGAGAGGGUGAUCGGCCACACUGGAACUGAGACACGGUCCAGACUCCUACGGGAGGCAGCAGUAGGGAAUCUUCCGCAAUGGGCGAAAGCCUGACGGAGCAACGCCGCGUGAGUGAUGAAGGUCUUCGGAUCGUAAAACUCUGUUAUUAGGGAAGAACAAAUGUGUAAGUAACUAUGCACGUCUUGACGGUACCUAAUCAGAAAGCCACGGCUAACUACGUG